Acinonyx jubatus (cheetah) is the source of this 4966-nucleotide long non-coding RNA. RefSeq lists it as uncharacterized. Lineage: Eukaryota; Metazoa; Chordata; Mammalia; Carnivora; Felidae. The record is from RefSeq and is a predicted model, not a curated record. The transcript has 3 exons.
AGAGGUCUUCAGCAUCCACUGAGGGCUGAGAGGUGGUGGCUAGACCCGGGGCUUUGGGGGGACCCAACUGGCCUGAGGGGAGUCCAAGGGACCCCGGGCAGAGCCAGGCAGCUGUCAGUGCGUUAUCUGGGUUCUGGGAGGAUCCCUCGGACUGACGGACCUCCCUGAGCCUUGUGGUGGCGGCGACGGCGGGUGGCCUCACCGGUGGGAGACAGCUUUCCGCAGGAAUUUGCAUAAGGCUGUUUGGAGACGUUCUCAGCAAGCAUGAGCAUGUUGAACCCACAGGGUGCUGAGGUCUGGGGAGGGAGCCUCCCAGGGCCCGGCACAGGGCCACGGGGGUACGGGUCUUAUGUGCCUUCUGCUCAUUCACCUCCUAUGGCUCCCCACUGCCCGGGGAUGGAAUCCAGAGACCGUCAUUCCGCGUGCUGCCAGACCAUCCGGCUCCACUACCCCAGGAAGAAGAAGGCAGCUGGCAGAGAGAUCCUGGAGGCUUCGUUUGGGGCUCUAGGUCCAGCCAUGCCUGAAGGCAGCCCUGCCGUUGAGCACUCAGCGUUCCGGCGCGCCUGGCCGGAGGCUGGCACUGUUUCUGGGCACCUGGACAGCCUCACUUGGCCCUGAGACAAGCACUCACUGAGUGGCGGCUGGCGGGCUCCGGGCGUCGGCAGUGGCGUGGCCCUUCUCUCCUGUGGCUGCUCCAGAGCUGGGGAAGAAAGGGCCUCGGAGCUCCCGUGGCCUCCCGGGGCACCCUUGGGCAGCCGACAGGUGAGGGUAUGGCCAAGAGGGAGGUUCUGUUAGGGUCAACUCGGAGACUCCAUCCUGUGGCACCUCAGAUGUGGGAUGCCCCAGUGCCAUGUCUCAGCCUCCCUGGGGUCCUGUGGCUUCCUACGGCUCUGUGUUUUCAUUGAAUGGUAGCCACGUCACCCUAGGUCUGUGGCUUCGCACCACCAUGGCCCCGUGGCUCGAGGGUCCCCACGAUCCUACGGCUUUAGCAGACUGUGGUCCCACGGCCCCAUCAACCCAUGCUGUUAUGACUUCGUCCCUCCUUAGUUCUGUGUUUCCUUGUUCUGAGGUCCAUGACUCUUGGAUUAUUUGCAACUUCAUGGCUCUAGGAAAAGGUGAGUUAUUCAACCCAGUGGGAAAUAGACUCAGGAAGCCUCAAGGGGUGGGUGUUCCAGUGACCCCCCCCCCCGCACUUAGCACCAUGUGGACCAACAGCAACACUGACAUCACCCCUUUUCCAGAGGGCUCCAUGUGCUUGUCACCGUUCUACAACUCCCGCUCAGAGUAUGCUGACGGUUGCUAUGGUCUGGCCGUUCCUGGAGGGUUUUAUUAAACCUCAGUCUCCCUCUGUGGCGCAGGAAUAUGGACACGCAGAGAGCCUGGUCUGGCCUAAAGGAGUGACCUUUAAGUCAGGGUAAGUAGGGGUCAGCCAGGUAAAGGAAGAGUGCUCCAGGCAGAAGGCACAGCCUAUGCAAAGGUCCUGAGGUGGGGAAAAGCCUAAAAGUAAGAGGCACAGGGAGGCAGCCAGUGAGCCUGGGCUGAAGGCUAACUGUUCACCUCCCCUUCGUCUCAUGUAAGGCAAAGGAGGCAGAGAAUGGACAAAAAGCUCCUAUUGUGUGCUUCAAUUUCAUUCUCUCAUUGACUCAGAGUGAUCUCUGAAUGGGGUGGCCACAGAGCCAGAGAGGUUCCCGGGGGUCCAGCCCGCCAGCCACCCACCGACCCACCCACCUAUCCACUCACUCCUCCAUGCAUCUGCCCACCCAUCUGUCUGGCAAUCUAUCCAUCCACCCAGUCAUUCCAUCCAUCCAUCCAUCCAUCUACUCAUCUACCCGCCCAUCCACGCAUCAUCCUUCCUAUCUGUCCACCCAUCCAUCCAUCUAUCCAUCCUUCCAUCCAUCCACCUAUUCACCCAUGGACUGCAAACAUGGCUCAUGGCUCUGUCCCUGCGCAGGGACACCACACCCCUUCCUGUGUUCCAGCCCUCCUCCCCCUCCACUGCUCCCUCACCCCUCUGUUCCAGCCACACCUGCCUCCUCCGUGAACCUCCAGUGCAUCAGGCUCGUCCCACCUCUGGGCUUUUGCCUCUGCUGUGCCCUCUGCUGGGUGCCCCUCAUCAGCCGGAACCCAUUCAUCUGCCCCGGCCUUGGCACCAACAUCCCCCCACGGUGGCUUCCCUGACCCCUAGGCUCCGUUUCCUCUGGCCCAGCCGGUUCCUACUUCUGUGUGGCAAGCGCUCCGGGCCACUGUAUGCACUUGUCCAGCCUCAAGGCCGCCCACCUCGGGGCCGAGAAUCGGAGAGCACCUCCUCCCUGUUGGCUACGAGGCAAAGGGUCUGUGUGGUGGAUGAAAUCAUUUGCUUUCACCCCACUGAUCGAUAAUCAUUUAUUUGGCCCCCAUUGUGUGCCAGUCUUCCCACACUGGGGCUGGGGCUCCUCCCCUCCCAAUAACCUCCCUCCCCCACUGGCCCAUGCCCUGGUCUGGGCCUCUGCCUGCCAGGCAGCCAGUGAGUAAACACACCCCGCCCUCGGCCUCCUGCCCCAUCCAUCACUGACCUGAACAAGGGCCUCCUGUUAAUGAGCUGGGGGGGGGGGGGGCCAGAGAGGGACAGGAGGACGGAGAAUGAAGACUCGGGAUCAGGGGUCUGGUUCCUGUGCUCCCUGCUGCCCACCCACCCAUCGUCCCCAGACAGCUGCAGAACCCUGGGUGGGGGACCCUCUCCCUACAGCCUUCACGGGGAGGGGAGCGUGUGACUUCCUUCUCUGAGCAGCCAGUGCCCAAAUCGAGGCGACAGGACAAACCUGCCUCUCUGAGCCUCCGUUUGCCCAUCUGUAGAGUGGGGGCAUUAAUGACUGCCACCGUGGAAAAGUCUUCACUUUUUAUGGAGUAACUUACUCACUUCUGGUGACGACCCUAAGAUGUGGGGGGCUCUUGUCCCCCCAUCUCAUCUGGGUUUUUACUGCUCCUGUUAAGGUGUGCAAAACUUUAGGUAUUUCCAUUCGCCACUUCAUUAAACAGAGAGAGAGAGAGAAAGAACAAAACUUGUGUCGUUAGCCACACAGGCGGUCUCUCUCCCUGUAACACAGACACAGGUUUGUUUUACUAUUACCUACAAAACCCUCAUUAAAUGUCAGAGGAAAGGAGAGAAGGGCGGGGGGGGGGGUCAUUUGCCCCUUCCACAGCUAUCUCUGGAAACUUAUGAAAAUAAUGCCUGUAUAAUUUCAUUCUCUAAAAUCAAUACCCAUUGAAUGCCGCCAUUGGUAAAUUCCAGUAGGUUCUUAGUAACGCUCUUUCUCUCUUGUAGCAACUCUUCAGUACGCUGGCUGACCUUGAGACUUAAAAAUUUACAUUAUAAUAAGCGUUUGAAUGUGGCUCUUCUCCCUCUCCCCCCCCCCCGCCUCCCCCCAAAAAAAGAAAAGGAAAAAGAAGAAACUGAGGCGCAGGCAAGUUAAGCAACCUGCCUCAGGCCUCACAGCAGAGCUGGGGUAUGAAACUCACGGUCCCCAUGCCAGAGAACAGGACCUUCAUCACUGUGCCCUGCUGCCCCCUAUGGUGAUGAGUUCCUGCCUCCCGGGGCUGGGAAAGGGGGAGCAGAAAGGGGAACCCCACAAAAGUGGUAUGGCAAGGCUUUUGAACGUUUGGCACCUGCUCAAUAAAAUUGUAGCCACUAUAUUUAUUGUUCUCUCCUUUCUCUAUCGUCACCUUCCUGGGAACCUGGGAUGGUAUGGGGACAGGGUUGGGGCAGAUGGAAAGUGGGAGUGUAGGCAGGGCUUCUUGAAGUUCACAGUGCAAGUCAGGGUGGGUCUGCCCGACUCCAGUGCCUGGAUGUCCCCCUGGUGCCCAUUCCCGCGCCCCCAACUCCUUGGUCCUUCUGGAGAGAUGGGUCCAGUGGGGCUGUCCGAGGCAGGCUGGGUCAGGCUCCUCAGUUAUGGAUGUAGCAGUGGCCAAAUGGCUUCCCUCACUGCCCUGAUGAAUUCCCCAGACCCUGGGCCUGUGGCCGGGCCCGCCCAGGGCAGGGCAGCUGCCUUCCCGACAUAGUUUCCCUCUGGAUUCACGAGGAGAGGCGGCUGGGUGAGCUGGGGGCGCCCGCAUGUCUCCUGGCCCGGCAAACCCCUGCCAGGAAGGGCCCCGGGGCCCCAUCACACAGGCACCAGCCCCUCUGCCCCAGCCUGGCCAGGCUCCCGGAACCACUGGGUCUGGUGUGAUGGGAAGGGGAGCUGGCUGGGGCGCCAGCCAAAGAAAGGCUCGGGCCAGGAGGUCCUGGGCAGCAGAAUCUUCACAGCUAAUGAGGGGCCUGGGCCAGCAUUUCUCGUCUGGAUUCUGUGGCCAAGGGCAAUGAGGGGGGUGUGAAGGCCUUAGGGGUCCCGCCUUCCCCAGUUCUAAUUCCUGCUGUGUGACCUCGAGCUGUCUCGUCUCUUUUCUGCGGAAAAUGUGAAUAAGGACAAUUUGAGGUAUAAGUGACAGUGUGUAAGUUCCACAGUGUAUGGCAAGGCUAAUACCGCAGCCAGACGUCGGGCACCCGGUAGCUCAUUCAAUUCUCUCAACAACGAUCGCUCCCGUUUUCUAAGCGAGGCACAGAGGGAUCACGCAACUUGCCCGAAGUCACACAGCAAGGCUGUGCCCAGCCAACGUUUGAACCUAGACCAUGUGUCCCCCAAGUCUGUCCUAAAGUACAGUGGUGGCAGUUAUAACUAUUAUUAAUAGUAAUGAUGUUCCACUAAUAAGGAAUAAGAACAUGAUAUGCUAAUCCUAGUAGGUAACUUCACAGCUCACCAGCCCCUUCUCUCUCUGAACCGGGAGAUCCCCAGGCUGUGAGAAACAGAACAAAACACAGUCAAUCCCGGGGCGCCUGGGUGGCUCAGUCGGUUACGUGUCCAACUUCGGCUCAGGUCAUGAUCUCACGGUUCGGGAGUUCGAGCCCCACAUCGGGCUCUGUGCUGACAGCUCAGAGCCUGCUUCAGAUUCUGUG